This 426-nucleotide long non-coding RNA is filed under the name Parus major (Great Tit). Its description in RNAcentral is "lncRNA (ENSPMJG00000006897.1)". The record is from RNAcentral. Lineage: Eukaryota; Metazoa; Chordata; Aves; Passeriformes; Paridae.
UUCGAUUAGUGAAGAACAUCCAAGUAGAGUCUAAAAACCUAUUUAAAUUGGGAUGUAUCUCUGCCAAAGGCUGUUUUGCUGGGAGACAAUGCAAACAAAUUCAUGACUGACAAAAGAGGCAGCAGAGCCAUGGAACAUUAGGCAUCUACUGCAGGUCCUUACAGAGUGAACCCUGAAGUACAUGGGAGACAUCUCGACAUCUUCAGGAAAAGACACAGGCAAUUAUAUUUCAUAAGAGAAGUUAUAGAAGUGCACAGCAGAGGAACACGACUGACAGCAGCAUAUGGAGGGAGCCUGAGGACUACACAGAAUUGCAUAUCACUGGAUUUUGGUCUGUGUUACAUACACAGAGUCAUUAUUUUUUAUUACUGACUGCUCUGACUGCAUUAAACACCUGAACAAUAAAGAUGUUGUGGUUUCCUGUCA